Long non-coding RNA from Pieris napi, 515 nucleotides. RefSeq lists it as uncharacterized. The transcript is spliced from 4 exons. NCBI's taxonomy places the organism in Eukaryota, Metazoa, Arthropoda, Insecta, Lepidoptera, Pieridae. The record is from RefSeq and is a predicted model, not a curated record.
UUUAUUCUAUAUAUUAUUAAAAAUCAUUUGUUUUCUGUAAUCAAAUAUUUUUCAUUGGUUGGUUAUUCACAACUGUGAUUGGUCGAGACGGAAGCAGAUUUAAUAUGGCGAAUUUAACGGUAAAUUUGAGUGUGUUUUCAUCGUUAAUAAUUGUUAGUUUUUUAAAUUAACUAGUUAGUACCUUUGCUCGCUUAAUAUAAAAACCUUUUAAAUUGUGUUAAACGUGGUAAAUACAAAAGAUGGUGAUUAUGCAAGAUGAAAUAGAAAAUAGAGUUAACAUCGCGUUGAGAUAUUGUUGAAAACAUUCACUUGGUCGAUGUUGUUCAAAGCCAAGACUUGCCACUGAAAAUACUAAAAACUUUAUAUGUAAAAGGAUUAAAACUUCAAAAUUACUGAUAUGUGGAGAUUCACUAAAAGGCACAUAGCAGAUACAUUGCCAGCGUGUAUAAAAUGUUAAUACUAAGAUAAUUUUUAACUGCUAAUUUGUAAAAGACAAUAAAUAUUUAUUUACUAUU